GCAACUCGACUGCAUGAAGUCGGAAUCGCUAGUAAUCGCAGAUCAGCAAAGCUGCGGUGAAUGCGUUCCCGGGCCUUGUACACACCGCCCGUCACACCACGGGAGUCGGUCGCGCCUGAAGCCGGUGGCCUAUCAGUAAUGGGGGAGCCGUCUAUGGCGAGAUUGGUAACUGGGGUGAAGUCGUAACAAGGUACC
RNAcentral lists this ribosomal RNA (195 nucleotides) under uncultured bacterium. RNAcentral describes it as "partial 16S ribosomal RNA". It matches the Rfam family "Bacterial small subunit ribosomal RNA", at positions 1307 to 1500 of the family's 1533-position model. The record is from RNAcentral.